Long non-coding RNA from Lates calcarifer (barramundi perch), 853 nucleotides. RefSeq lists it as uncharacterized. NCBI's taxonomy places the organism in Eukaryota, Metazoa, Chordata, Actinopteri, Centropomidae. The transcript is spliced from 4 exons. The record is from RefSeq and is a predicted model, not a curated record.
AUAAUGCAGUUAAGGCUUCUCUCCGUCUUCACGGAAUUUUAAGACCAAUCAGAGGCGGUUGCUAGGCGGACCAGAGUGGCCCGACCAAUCAGCGUUUUUCUGCAAACGUUGGCUGACGUAUGUCGUCAUUGGUGCGACGUAUCUCGUCAUUGGUCAUGGCCUUUUGGGAGGAGCGCAGAGAGGCGGAGUCGGAAAACAGAUUUAAACCAGUUUUGAAACGUUGCCUCUGUUUGCUAGUACUGUGAGAAAACGUCGUUACGGGAGAGGUCUGGAUGCCAAAUCAAACUCCGGAGCUGGCUUUUGUUAUUUACGAAGAGGCCUGGGUGCUAAAACAAACUCUGGAACUGUUUUUUUGUCGAACACGAGUGAGACUGGACGCUGAACACACCUGCGGCGCGAAGGUUUACUGGUUCAGCUGCUGCAGCCUGGACAGAGACACCAGCUCUCACCUGACAAACCAAACAGGAUUCAAAAUUAAACCAUUAAAUCACAGAGAGAAGAGACAGACAUGAAGACAUUUCCAGGAGGUCUUCGCCUGCUGUCGUCUUCUCCUCCUGCAGAGACAAGAACACGUGUUAAUCACAGAAACUGAUCAGUAAAUCAAAGUAUUUCUAUGACAUACUCUUUUUAUGCCUUACUUCUAAGACUAUUUUUGCCAGUUUUUGACACUUCUCUAUAUUAUAAUGUUAUGGAAAUUUUCCGGCCUGCCUGUAGAGAGUCAAAGAACAAGACUGGCAAGGUAGCAACUGAGUAAACACUUGGGGUACAAUAAAAGACAGUUGUGACCUCUCUCAGGAAUUUACAACUGGUGUAAUCACCUGUGCUGAUGAAGAUACCAUUUGCCAUCUUCCUC